This is a long non-coding RNA of Choloepus didactylus (southern two-toed sloth), 1463 nucleotides long. RefSeq lists it as uncharacterized. The transcript has 4 exons. The record is from RefSeq and is a predicted model, not a curated record. Lineage: Eukaryota; Metazoa; Chordata; Mammalia; Pilosa; Megalonychidae.
GUUGAAGCCAACCCAUCGUAUGGUGCUUGUUUGAACAGUUGGGAAACCAAAGCAAACAGCAAGGGCAAAGUCCCCGAGGAGGGAAAGAGCUUGACAUUGCCCAGGAGCAGCAAGGCCAGACGUACCAGGAAUGAAGAAAGCAAGAGCCAGCAGGGCCCCAGACCACACCGGGAAGUCUGGAUUUGACUGGGGGUGAGCUGGGAAACUAUUUGAAAACUCAAUGUCACAAUAAAUGGUGGCCAUUCAUAAGAUUACAGCAUGGUGAAACCAGAGCAGGUGUGCAGCCAUUUCCCAAAGAGAGAAGCAACCCACUGAUGGUGUGUGAGAUCAUUUUACACAGCAUAUGGCCUCAACCACAUUCGCACUGCUGGGAGGAGGUUUUGAACUCUGAUCCGUGUGGUUCUGAGUCCUGAGCUACACCUCCAGGAGAGGCCAGCAGAGCCAGGGCAGCCCCUUCAAGGGUAAGUGGCACCCCCUGAGCACUGUCUUCCUCCCGGAGUUCUGAAGGAGUCACUGGUUCCCUGCUGUGUCACUGGCCUCCUCCGGCCCGCGGGUCCCUGCUGGAGUGGAAGCCUGACCUGUUGUUCCAACCCCACCAAACCUCCUGAUGUCCAGCCCCUCGGUCAAGGUUGCUGUGCAGGCGGAAUAAAGGCUCCCCAAAGAGGCCCACGCCCUAAUCCCCAGCACCUGUGACGAAGUUACCUUACAGAGCAAAAGGAACUUUGCAGAUGUGCAAUACCUGGAGGAGCAGCAGCCAUCUUGGGAGCAUGAGGGCAAAAUCCCUAAGGAUGCUGGAACGGACAGACAGAAGAGCCCGAGUCCCUGACAACAUCAUGGAGCCUCUGUGUCAACCCUGGACCCCCUUCCUCUGGACAUCUUGUAAUGUGAGAGAGAGAACCCCUACCCAGGUCUUCUGACUCCAUUCAUCCAAUCAACCAGAGGCUUAAAUGUUUGGUUCAGGGGAUACAGCAAUGAACAAAACAGGCAUGGACCCUGCUGUCAUGGAGCAGACAUUCUAGUGGGGAGAUGGUGCUGCCACGCUGUCUGCAGCUUCCAACGGAACAGGAUCUUCUCUGGAGCACAGCCCAGACCCAGGACCUCUGCCUGGUCUUCCAGAGGCCAGACAGCCACGAGACCCAGGGACCCCUGAGCCGAGUGGGCUUGGGACUGCAAGGCCUGAAGAUAUCGCUGGUGUUACCAGCCUGGCACCCCCACCCCCAUUCCCCCAAACCUCCUCCUUAGCCUGGGGGAAAUGUGGGGGUGUUUGUGGUUGGAGCAGUGAGCCAUUUCCCAUCAGGGCUGUCUGAUGUUAACAUUUUCCACUCUAACCCUCAGCUGCUUUGCUAAGCAACGUGGUCAUGUGCUCCUGCCUUGGGGGGGGUGGCGUGGUCCCUGCUCCAGAGGGGCUUCUCAGGGAUGACAGAGGGUGAGGAUGUGUCCGCCGAAAAUGAAUGGGCAGGAUU